RNAcentral lists this ribosomal RNA (787 nucleotides) under uncultured Helicobacter sp. RNAcentral describes it as "bacterial SSU rRNA". It matches the Rfam family "Bacterial small subunit ribosomal RNA", at positions 597 to 1381 of the family's 1533-position model. The record is from RNAcentral. Lineage: Bacteria; Pseudomonadati; Campylobacterota; Epsilonproteobacteria; Campylobacterales; Helicobacteraceae.
AAAUCCUAUGGCUUAACCAUAGAACUGCAUUUGAAACUACUACUCUAGAGUAUGGGAGAGGUAGGUGGAAUUCUUGGUGUAGGGGUAAAAUCCGUAGAGAUCAAGAGGAAUACUCAUUGCGAAGGCGACCUGCUGGAACAUUACUGACGCUGAUGCGCGAAAGCGUGGGGAGCAAACAGGAUUAGAUACCCUGGUAGUCCACGCCCUAAACGAUGAAUGCUAGUUGUUGUGGAGCUUGUCUCUGCAGUAAUGCAGCUAACGCAUUAAGCAUUCCGCCUGGGGAGUACGGUCGCAAGAUUAAAACUCAAAGGAAUAGACGGGGACCCGCACAAGCGGUGGAGCAUGUGGUUUAAUUCGAAGAUACGCGAAGAACCUUACCUAGGCUUGACAUUGAUAGAAUCUGCUAGAGAUAGCGGAGUGCUGGCUUGCCAGAGCUUGAAAACAGGUGCUGCACGGCUGUCGUCAGCUCGUGUCGUGAGAUGUUGGGUUAAGUCCCGCAACGAGCGCAACCCUCGUCCUUAGUUGCUAACAGUUCGGCUGAGCACUCUAGGGAGACUGCCUUCGUAAGGAGGAGGAAGGUGAGGACGACGUCAAGUCAUCAUGGCCCUUACGCCUAGGGCUACACACGUGCUACAAUGGGAUGCACAAAGAGACGCAAUACCGCGAGGUGGAGCAAAUCUCAAAAACAUCUCUCAGUUCGGAUUGUAGUCUGCAACUCGACUACAUGAAGCUGGAAUCGCUAGUAAUCGUGAAUCAGCCAUGUCACGGUGAAUACGUUCCCGGGUCU